Rattus norvegicus (Norway rat) is the source of this 1006-nucleotide long non-coding RNA. RefSeq lists it as uncharacterized. Lineage: Eukaryota; Metazoa; Chordata; Mammalia; Rodentia; Muridae. The record is from RefSeq and is a predicted model, not a curated record.
AUGGCAACUAAAAAGUGCAGUCUGCAAGGGCGGCGCCUCCUGAUUGGAUCGGGCUCAGGCAGAGCCGCAGAGAAGCCGCUGAUUGGCUGCGCAGGGUCAGGCGCUGUGGGCCGAGUGAACGCGAGUAACCCUGUAGGCGGGUGCUGACCGGGAGUAACCCCGGGAGGGACCGCACGCCUCUCCCUUUGUCUCCUCCGACUCUAGGCUCCCGCCCCCCAGGCUUGCCUGGGCAGAGACAGGGCGUGGGAGCGGAGGCGGGGCUGAGUGCGACUGUGCAAGCCUCGGAAGACUCGCUAGACCGAAGCAUUUGAGCGCAGCUGCUUCCUUCUGCCUCAGGCCCCAGCUUUGUAAGUGGGGUUCUGUGUGAGGCCGAGUGGAAAUCUCUAGGACAAAAGUUUAUAGAUCUUCGAAUAGAAGUGGUGAAUGUGCCUUAGUGACUCUGGAGUGAUCUCCUGUAAACAGCCUUAAACUGCAAAAAGGUGGCUUCUCCCAGCCUGUACCUCCUGGAUGUACAAAACAUGCUUCAGGAAGAGAGCCAGAUGUGCAGCUCACAGAUCGAUUGCUUCUGUUUCUGUGAAACAUGCAGUUGAAGUCCAGAGAAAAAGAGAACCUGGCUGUUGCCAGGGGUGGGGAGUGGACCUGGAAGAGGUGGAGGUUGGUCACGGCAGAGAAGGCAUGAAGGAACAGAGCCUGUUCCAUGGGCACACAGAAGAGAAUGACUGUGGGAUCUGAUUUGCCUUUCUCAAGAAUCUUCAACACCGCUAACAAGCAGAGUGAUCUGUGGAGAUGCUGUGUUUUCCAGAAGUCAUCUCAAACAACGUUGAAAACCACCAAUAUGCUUCCCCAGGGCCAGAAUGUGUGUAGUCUUGUAGCUUCAAACUCCCAUCUCACCCCUAAGCCAAAACAGUAUGCCUUGUGAAACCACCUUACAGUUUCAUUCACAGAACAAGAUUCUCUGAGAGAAGGAAAAUAAACCAGAUCGUGGAAUUUCAACUUUUAAACAACA